CGCCUGUGGCUCAAAGGAGUAGGUUGCCGGCCCCAUAGGCCGGAGGUGACGGGUUCAAACCCAGCCCCGGCCAAAAACUGCAAAAAAAAAAAAAAAUCUUCAAAGUAUGUAAGACACUUAAAUUUGGCUGCUGUAAGCCAUUAAGGGUGAGUGGGUGGACAUUUAACUAUGAAUUUUUUUUUUAGAGACAGUCUCUCACUUUGCCACCCGUGGUAGAGUGCUGUGCCGUCAUGGCUCACAGCAACUUCAAACUCCUGGGCUCAAGCGAACCUCUUGCCUCAGUUUUUCUAUUUUUAACAGAGACGGGGGUCUCGCUUUUACUCAGGCUGGUCUCAGACUCAUGAGCUCAAGCAAUCCACCCGCUCGGCCUCCUGGAGUGCGAGGAUAACAGGCGUGGGCCCCCGCGCCUGGCCUAACUAGGAACUUCUUGAAGACAUCCCUGGGUUGUCAGAUUUACAAGGUGACAAGAUGACUUCCCCACCUCCUCUUUCCUUCCCUGAUAACCUACGUAGGUGGUGAGCCCCUCAAUCUCUUGCACAUCCUUAGCAUUUGCUUGUAGAAGACGAAAACUGAUACAGGCUGGAAACUAAAAGGAGUGGAUCAUAAAUUAGAACAGGUGAAGGAAUAUAGACUUCGACUCCUCUCUUUAAGAUUCUAAGUUCAAGGUGUGAGGUAAGGACAUAAAUUUCUAAAACAAGACACAAAGCCUUUGGAUUUUAUAUAUGAAGUUUUAAUUAAGAACAAAUGAAAAUUUAUUUAGAUUUGAGUUCACAUCCAAGAAACAGUCAACUUAAAGAUUAGAAAUAUAAGUGGAAAUAGUCUACUUUUGGGGUUAUGGAUGGAUCAGACAAGCCUGAAGAAGAGUAACCUUGUGAAGUUACCAAACCAUGUAUUUUCAAGUAUUUAUCAACUUUAUUCUUGGCUUAUUAUGUAUACAGAAGUUAGCCAAUUCUAGCAAAGUCAGCAGAAUUUGAGUAAACUUGAGUUUUACACCAUGGCUGUCAGGUCUGAAAGCUUAGAUUUGAUUAUAACCUGGUAAAUGUGAUUAACUUUAUUUCCUGCAAAUGUAAUCAAUUUAAAAAAAUAGGUAAACAUCAAUUUUACAUACACCAUAUGAAAGGUAGGAGGAAAUUGGAAUUGUUCAUCUAAUUGCAGAAUCUAAACCAUAAAUUCAAAUUGCAUUGUUAUCUCUACUAUCAAAUCAAGCCAAGAAAGUUUAUUACAGACUAAGGGAAAUGAAUGGGAUUAUGCAGGGUCCACUGAGGAGACAUUUUGAAGACAAAUUAAUACUUAAUGCUGUACAGCAAUUAUUUUCAAGUAUGCUCCAAGAGUCACCUUUUAUGGAAGAAUUAGCUGUCAGAAAUCAGGCGACAAGUAUUAACACCUACAUUUUGUAGAAAAUGAAGGCAAAGGAUGAGUCAGAUACAGGGGUCCUCAAAUUGUGGCCCACAGGGGGUCACAUGAGGCGGUGUGAUUGUAUUUGUUCCCAUUUUGUUUUUUUACUUCAAAAUAAGAUAUGUGCAAUGUGCAUAGGAAUUUGUUCAUAGUUUUUUUUUUUACACUAUAGUCCGGCCCUCCAACGGUCUGAGGGACAGUGAAUUGGCCCUGUUUAAAAAGUUUGAGGAUGCCUGAAAGUAAAUUAGACUUUGGCUUUAUUUGAAAUAGGAUUCAUGUGCUCUGAAUCUUUCUAUUGGGUUAUAGCUAUUAAUCUACAUUUCCACUUACAACACAAUCCAUUUUAAAAAGUUACCUUCAUUUUGUGUCCAAUCUCUUAAUGCAUUGGAUUAGUAUAUAGGUGGAUUCUUGCGGCACCGCUCAUUUCUAGGAGGCCAUUAAUAAAAACUUUUUUUCUUUCCUUAGAAAUAAAAAUGAAUGUAAAACUGAUUGUUAAAAACAGUAAAGAUUAUUUUCUCCUAAAGUAGAAACAAUAGUUUGCUUGACUAAAAAUCUAUUCAUUUGGGCAUUAAGUUACCUAACAUUACACAGACUAUUUUACAUUAGACAUUGUUUUGUAUUGUCUCCAAAAAAUGUCUUAUAAUUACGUAAGUCUAAUUUCCUGUGAAAUUUACUCUACUAAAAUCAAUAUAUAAGCUGUUCAUUGUUCUGAUAUAGUUAAAAUGACAAAUAUUUUAUUUUUUU
Nycticebus coucang (slow loris) is the source of this 2139-nucleotide long non-coding RNA. RefSeq lists it as uncharacterized. NCBI's taxonomy places the organism in Eukaryota, Metazoa, Chordata, Mammalia, Primates, Lorisidae. The transcript is spliced from 2 exons. The record is from RefSeq and is a predicted model, not a curated record.